RNAcentral lists this long non-coding RNA (34624 nucleotides) under Eucalyptus grandis. RNAcentral describes it as "long non-coding RNA (EGRA_LNC002336)". Lineage: Eukaryota; Viridiplantae; Streptophyta; Magnoliopsida; Myrtales; Myrtaceae. The record is from RNAcentral.
AAAAGGAGCUACUUUCUCGAUUCCAUCAAUGCUUGCCAGAGAUUGCACAAAAGCAAUGGGUAUCAUGGAAAAGAAGGUGAGGAAAAAGAACGCAACGGCCAUAAUUAGUCUUCUGAUUGUGAGAGAAACAUAUGGGAUGGCAAGGUUUGGCCAAUACACAUCACGUGGCUCCGGAGCCCAAUCAGUGAGCCAUAGAGUUGGAUUUCUGCACUGUUGAGUUUGUGCACAGACAGCUGCACCCCAUCUAGUCUUGAAGGAAACAAAUGCAGCAGGCAUUAUAGACUUUGGAUCACCUGCAACUUUCUCUCUUUCUGCUUCUAUCUGAACAGAAGAUUGUCAAUUACAUUAAUGCGGUCCUCAAUUAAGAUCAUUCGGUACUCACAGAAACGAAUAUAGGUAUCAGUUGUGCUUACUUCUUUUGAUAGUUUCUCAACUUCCGAAGUAUAAUAAUCAAGAGUAUCAACCUGAUUUCCACAUAGCCCAACAAAACCAGUCUGGUAAAAGGAAGAUAUCACGAAGUGAUGUAAGUGACACAAUGCAUCAAGGAAAAAGAACCAUUAAAACUCUCAGUUGAAGAUGCAGUCUCUCAUACAAAUCUCUGAUAUUCUAUAGUACCUUUGUUAAGGGUCUUUUUGAAUUAUUUCUGGUAUACUUAAGCUGGCAAAAGUCUAGCCUGUUCUGCAUUUUUUUCUUCUUCUUGACCAACUCAGCAAGCUUGUUUGCGUUGUACACCACCUGCAGAAAAUUUCGAAGUAAGGAAUUGAAGAAAUAGAAUUAUGUCUGAAUAAAAGCAUCCACUGACGAUUAUACGGAUGGCAAUGCAUAUGAUACAUUAAAAUAUGAUAAUAAUCUGUCCAACAAAGUUGAAAAAGGCUUAAGUCUUUGACUUUUUCAAAUGGCUAACACUUUCUCACAGGUUAACAGAAGGCCAGUAGGAAGAUCAAAAGUACAAAGAGUGGCCAACAGCAACAGCCAGCAACUCUUUCUAAUGGACAAGGUGAGGCAGCAAAGGGUCAAAAAGGAGGGGGAGAAGGGAAUCUUUUCUUGCUCGUGUACCAUGCCAGCACAUAGAUAGCAGACAUGUUAUUACCUAAAGUCUCUAGCGUCAAAGCAAAAACUAAUGCGGCAAUAAAUGAUAUGUAAAGCACGGAACAAGAUUCAUAUAAACCAAAAGGGAAAGGUCACACAGACAGAAGCUAUCACAGAUCCUAGGAAGGAGCAUGAUGAGCUAAUGGAUUUACAUAGAAAGUAUCCACCAUAAUUAUUCUAGAAAGACAUUCAGUUUCAUCAAGCCAACCUGAUGGGUCAGAUAAUGAUCCGGGUGAUUAACCAAGAAGAAGUGCUCCACAAGCUCACUAACAGACUCAUCUGGAUCUGGGGGAACAUUUCUGACAAGUACCUGUAAAAAUACGGUUCCAAGGAAAAAUGUCUCAUGUUACGAAGAAACCCUUGGAAUUCUAGCCUCCAAGUUCCAAAAUUACAGAUUACAACCAAAUCAAGGUUAAUUAAAAAUCAUUUAUUUAGUUUAAUCAACACCAAUGAUACAUGGAGUCCACCCUACCGAAAAUUGAUCAGCGCGUGGCCGUUCAGAUGCAAGAAACUGCAGCCGCAUCAAAGCAACUGUCUCAUACUCCUUACGCAACACAUAGCAUGUCCAAAAGGUGAAGACAUAAGCCAUUAUAAUAUGAGCCCAAAACCUGCCACAUGAUGCAUUAAAUGAAUAGUUUGAUAAUAAGUCACUACCGAAAUGUAAUCAGAGUUUAGUAAAACAUUUUAUUGAAGAUAAGUUGUGUAAGGACCUUGGGUCUGCCACUAUACAUAUAUUGUUCACUUUGGAUACUAAGUUAUUGUCAUUUUAUUUUUCUUGAGAUAGCCAUACUACCCCAAGAAAACGUAUAUAUAUAGUUAGAGGAACCAAGCCUUAUAAGUCAGCCCAAAACUCCCUCCCUAAGUAAUGUGGGACAAGAGACGCGCCCCAUCCCUGCACAUGUCUGGGGACUAAGGUACACCGCCAUUCCUCCUCCUCACGUACCGCCACCUCGGCCAUCACACUCUCCACCCCUUAGGAGCACAGCGUCCUUACUGUGGCCCCACACACGAUCGUGCAUCAGCUCUUAUACCACCUAUAAGGACCCUAGGCCCAUCACUAUACAUAUAUUGUAUGCUUUAAUUACUAAGUUCUCACGGUUUUGUUUUUCUCGAAACAGCUCAUACUCCCAAGCCUUAUAAGCCAGCCCAGAACUCACAAUCUAGGUGAUGUGAGACAAGAGACACACCCCUUCCCAGCAUGUCUAAGGACCGAGGCACAGAUGCACUACCAUCCCUCAUCCUCACGCACCGCCUCCUAGCGGUUACACUCUCCACCUCUUAAGAACACAGCAUCCUCGCCAUGGCCCCAUACACGGUCAAGAGUCGACUCUGAUAGUAUCCAUAUCAUUGUUAAAUAUCUUAGCAAGAGCAAUUGAUCAUAUCCAAGAAACAAGAAAGGAUGAACUGCAUUAAUAUAAGCAAGGCAAUGCAUUGAAAUUAGCAUGGCUAUUGAGUGAAUAUUAGCAAAGACAAUAAAGCUAAAUAUUAUCAGGAUUCUACCUAUGACGAAACUCUUGCUACAAGCUUCAAGAUAUUUUUCUGAAAUAUUUUAUAUCAAAAUUUUACAGCUAGUGAUAUGGCAUGAAUUCCCUGUUUAGAAAAUAUUGAUUGACUUUCAUUCUUAAACAUUAUCUUUGUCACAUAUUUAAUCACUCAAGAUAUCUUAAAUAAUUGGCAAUCAUCCCAAAUGCAAGAUUCUUUCCUUAGCUAAAGCAAUCUACUUAUGGAAAUCAAAAUUUUUUUGGAUGGACGAUUAAAUCAAUGGAAUCUAUGAUUGUUCAACCUGAAUUGCUACCCUAAUCUUCUUAACAAUCGUCUAACAUUGCUUGGAGAUUGAUCCUCUUGAAGACUGUCCAAACGAAAAGUUUUAGAUGUUGAGGAGUAUAAAAGAAGACCAAAGCGUCGAAGAGAGACUAAUGAAGAGAUAAAAAUUCCAAAUUCUAAGAAAGCUUCACGUGUUCUCAUUGUCUUUCAUGAGCAUUCCAUUGUAAUCUUUUGAGAAGUGUUGGUAGAGUGAUAGCUUGUGUUUAGAUGUGAGAUAGUGAGUCCUAUCAGUUUAUGUAAUAAGUAAUACCUACUUUGAGGAGAAGUGCUUAAGUUCAAGCAACACUUGCUAAUGUAGACUCUAGCCAAUAGACUGUUGGCAUAAGACAAUGGACAUAGCCUUACACUAAGCUGAGCCAUUGUAAAGCUUUGUGUGCAGAGUUUUCUUUCUCCCUAGUUAAUUCAUUUAUUGCUCGAUAGAAAUACUAUACUCAAAUAUUACCAAAAUCUAAUCAUUUUCAUACUCUCUAGGAUUUGUUAAAAUCAUCUAUUCACCCCUUCUAUGUGAUAUUGUUAGCAUAGCAUAGGCAUUAUACUGUAGCAACAUGGUCCCAAUAACAGCCCUCGUAGUUUGGUUUGGAGAAAGAGACCAAGGAUAAAAAUGGGUGUUCAUUCAAAUUUGAUACAAAUUUAUAUUUUUUGGGAAUUAGUUGAAAUCCUUUAUUUUUCAUUUCAAACCAAUUGUUCAAAUUCAAGAUCUCCCACCACAUGGAUCUCUUGGAAAAUCAUUGGAUUAUCAAAUUAUCUAUCGAGCCAUGAAAAAGAUUCAACAAAAGACUGACAACGUAAAUACCUUUUUAUGAAAAAAAUCAAGCUCUACUUCCGUGUUGCUCAAUACGUUCCUCAAAAAAUCCGAUUUGGCCUAAUAGAUUGAUUUAGAGAAUCGAAAUCAAGAAGAAACGGGCAUAUGCUUAGUAAGUCAAUUGAUAGGUUUGGUAAUCCAAACUAAGGAAUCCCUUAGAUAUGAUGCAAAUGAUAAUUGAGAUUCAAGCUGUGAGAUGUUGGUGCAAAAGGAAACCUGAGUAAGGGGGAGCAAAUUAACACCAAGCUCAUACAUGAGCGAAAAAUUGUUGCAUUGCACAUUUAUUUGUGUUUAAAAAAAAAAUCCCACAUUAGAUAACUGGUGUGGUGUGGAGUAAUUAAUAUAUUUUAGUUGGCAGAUAACUCGAUGACUCGUGCUUUUGAGUGAAGGUGUAUCUAAGUAGAUAUAUUAAUGGGCUUGAACUUUAGACACCCUCUAGGUAACUCUCUAAGUGAAGUGUAUCAAAUUGCAGUAGUGCACUUCCAACAAAUGAUAUCAAUGCCGUGCUUGAUUGAAUUAAAGCGAAUCAAUAGCAACAAAAGAAGUAAAAGUGAAAGUCGACAGAUUAGAUGGGAAAUAUUUUGGUUUUUAGAGGAAUAUACACUUACCCCUAUCUGAGGAGAAGCCAAACUUGAUGAAGCAAAAUUUUGGGAAUUGCUAGAUCAUAUGGGUUCAAUGAAGGCCCUAUCAUACAUGUACAAGAAGCCCUUUGGGAUCAACAAAGUCUACUUGAUACAAUGUCUCUUUAACUUAAAGAUGGGCAUAACUGAUCAUAUCAAAAAAUUCAAUAUGAUCGUUAGUCAUUUAAGUUCGGCUAAAACUGACUUAAAUGAGGAGGUACUUACUUUGAUUCUAUUAUUCUCAUUGCCUAUUAGUUGAAAUACUAUGUUAUUGCUAUCAGUGAUUCCUCUAAGUCAACAAGCUUGAGACUUGAUUGGUCCACGGUUUGAUUUUAAGGACAUCCGUAAGACAUAAUUUGGUGAAGUGUUCAAAUGGAUUUGGACGUUAUUUAGCUCAAGAUGAAUUGCAACCAGAAACUCCUAUUAUGACAAGUACUAGCAGAGUAAUCGAAAUAGAUGUUGCUAAUAGCAAAGUGAAGCCUAUAGAGCCAAUACUUGUAGUAAUUAAUAAAUUAAACAAGGUGCGUGUUCUAUCUCCCGACAAAUAUGGAUGCAACUAGAGUUUUGCUUUAUCUGUGAUUGAGAAGAUGGCAUCAAAAAAUCCCUAUGAAGCGGUGGAAGGCGAACAUGGAGUUGGUAUUCUGAUGAGAUCUGUGGUUAUAGUAAAAUUCAAGCGUGGCUUGGACUUAGAAGAUAUAUGUGGCAAUUGAGCCCAUGAGGAGCUAUGGGAGGGUAGCAGCAAAGUUCAGAUUUUCCGGCAAAGUGAUUAUGACUUAGCUUAAUAUCAAGCCAAGGUUGAUGUUAUUAAAAUUAUAUCUCAAGUUUGAGCUCGAAAAGUAAAAUUUCUUAAUCCAAGUAAGUUUCCUAAUUUGAACAAGUUUCUUAGUUGAAUAGUUUCCUAGUUGGAGUAGGUUUCCUGUAAAGGGUUUUCCAAUUUUGAAUCCAAUUCUCUUAUAUAUAAGAAGUGGUUAGAGUUUCCAAGAGGACCUUGUGCUUGCAAAUCUUGUGGUAAGAUUUGUGAAAUUCCUUUAUGAGAUUAAGAGGUUAUUUCAUGAGGAAUUGUAAGUGAUAAACACUAUAUGAAUUAUUAGGUAUCAUUGGGGGUUGGUAAAUAUUGAGAGUGUUUGAGCAACUUGAGUGUGGUUAUAAUCCUUAUGUUAUCAUUUAAUCUAUAAUAAAAUUAUUUACUACCAACCUCUGUACAUGAGUCACACCAACCGAAUCACGCAAAUGUGAUAUGCAAUUUAUUUUAUUGCUCCAUUUAUUUUGUUGUUCGAUCACUUAUUUCCACAACAAAAGCCAAAGUUAGUCCUUUCAAGAUAAUUGGUUAGAAAGGGGAAAAAUAAAAAGUCAAUUGACGGUCUCAUGACAUUCCAAGACUGUAAGUGUCAGUUAUAUGUAGCAUGACUUCUUAUAUUUUGCCUGGAUGAACAGACAUCAUGGAACCUCUGCAGAGGAACUGUCCAAGAUUACGGAUUUGGUGAAACCACAUAUAACAGUUGUUUUCCAAUUUUUUAGUGAAACUCUUAAAUAUACCCUUUCAUCCCUGGCUCAACUGUUUCAAUGCAACUAAAAGACUUCAGAAGAUUAAAAUUAUAGCCUAUAAAGCAAGCCUGAUGAAAAUAAGCAACAAGCCCACUGUAAUUCUUGUGAAGCCCAAACUGAAUACCAACUAUCAGCUUAUCACCCUCCGGAACACAGACUUACAUUGGCGAAGGAAAAAAAAAAGAAGCAAGGAAUAGCAGAUCAAAAUAAGCAAAAGCUCCAUACCUAUUUGAUCCGAGUGGGACAUUUGAAAUUGAGAGUUUGUCUAUAUAGCUAGAAGUUACAUUCUUAACCCUGGCCUGCUCUAGAGUGCUAUUCAUCCAAUUUACGGGAACCAAAAUAGUCCACGCCAGGAUUGUUAGAGGAACAAAGAUCUUCAGUCUGCAUCAAUGACAUGGAGAAAUUAGGAGAACAGUUCCUGAUGCAUCUACAGCUGUGCAUUGCCAACUGAACAGAUUUUUAGCUACACAGGACACUUUUAGAGAAUAUAUUCUGGCUCGUAUGGUACGUACAUGAAUAGAUUGCACUCCACAAUCCUCAUAACAGAGAAAAACGAACAGGGCAACAUGCUUAGUGUAACAAGAGCUUACUUGGCUGUCGGUAAAUCAACCUACAAUUGUACAAGUAGCCGAUGUUACAUCAGUUGUUCUUUUCCCCUGUUUUUAAUUCAUGAAACUUCAUCCUUUUCUACAAUUUUUAAUUGCGCCAAAAUUGCCCACCACGUUAAAAAAAACUACAUGCAGGUCCUUUUGAUGGAUCUAUGGGCCCAUUUGGUAUUCUAUAGAGGUGCUGCAGUGGAGUAGUGGUAGCUGAGUUGUGAUAUGAUGUUCCAAAAAUAUUAAAGACGCACUGCAUGCUUUAGAGCUGCCCCCCCAGGAGCAACAUCUCAGAACAAAGUGGGGCAGCUCCCGGAAAAAGCACCUUAGAGGUACUGCAACUUGUGAAGCUUCACAAUGUCUGAACAUUAUACCGAGCACUUAAUUGAAGCUGAAGCGAUCUUUCAAAAGCUAUAGCUUUUGCCCUGCGAAUAUAUCAAACAUCAUCUAAGUCUACCCUAACGUGCCUCUUUUAUGACAAUUGGCAUACAGGUUCUCAUUCCUGUACCACAUCCACUAGCAUGCCAAGAUUUACUCAACUUAAGGCUAGAACUUGAGUAUAAUAUCGUUUCAAAUGGAAUUAUAGGAGCAUCUACCCUGCCUUUAAUCCACAUAUGCAACCGAAGAUCAUCAAAGCAAAAGCAAACACAGGCAUUCAUGCAAUUGUAAUAGAAAACAUAUGAUGGCAUUAUGUCCUGCAUCGAAUUGCGUAAACCCUCGAUGAAUUAACAAGAGAUAAUGACACUAAUCAAUUGCGGCUUGACACAUCCAUGCAACAGGAAGAGAGGUCAAAAUCUAAUUCGGCUUACCCCAACAGAUAGAGUCUUAAAUAGACAGCAGAAUCCAAUCCCGCAUGUUCAAUAAGUUCUUGUUCAGGCAUUUUGAGCGCAUCUGGCAUCCAAUUUAAAAACCUCAUGCAUGAACGGAAGUCCAAGUUGACAAACUCGGGAACAGAUGGCCCCCCACGAGUCGAGCUGGUCCGUAAGCCCUUGAGAUACCAUUUGGGGAAAUAUACUCUAUCAUUGUAAGGUUGAAGCCUUAGAAUGGCAAAUGCUACGGAAAACGCCAAUACACUGAGAAUACUGAUUGCUACAGCAAGUCCUAUAUCCGAAAGAGUUGCCAUAUGUCCGUUCCCUUAUUCAUAAAAAAAUUGUUCCACCUGCAGAGAAAGAAAACAUAUAUCAGCACAAGCUGUCAAUUCAUAUUUUUGAAAGAGAUAAUGAGACGUAAUAUCCUCAUGAAGUUCCAUCAUAUACUUGAGAACGACAAUAAGGUAUAAUAGCAAGCUAGCUCUAAUUGCAGUGAGAAGCAUUCAAUCGACUAUCCCAUGUUCUAAUGCCUCAGCUGAUUUUGGGCAGGUGUAUAGCUGAUUUUGGGCAGGUGUAUCAAUCUUCCUCAAAAAAUCAACCUACAAGGGAAAAAAUUGAGGCAAGUUUGAGCAUCCGUUCUGCGACCCCUAGCUACAUACAAAGAGUGAUCUCAUAGCACACGACAGACAUGUGACUAUUGAUAUUGCCCGUCUAACCACUUCACUUACAACUUGCUCUCUCCUCUCAAACCUUAAGUGGCAAGACCAGUCCCCACGCUCAAGUUCCUUAAACAUCAAAAGUUGAGGAAUUACUCACAAGUUCCUGGAAUAGGCAAACUGAAUUUUCUCUUUUGCUAGGUAGUGGGUAGUAGGUAUACCUCUAUGCAAAUCUCUCUUAUGAUCGUUUCAAGCACCAAGCUUCAUCACUGAGCAGGCUUGCACAUUCACAUCGCGCAUGCUGUAUGCCACAGAACAACUACUUCAGCUUUUGCUAGACAGAUUCAUGUUUGUGAGGAUGGUUGCCUCAGGAAAUCUGAUUAGAAAAUGAGAGAAUGGUUAUAAUGCUUGAAAGAUAGGAUGGAGCCAUUAAGUUAAUUUUUCAAUAGAAAAGAAGUUGACAAUUUUGUAUAAGAGUUUGUAAUCAAGCUUUACAAAUAAAUUUUGUUAAACUUUUGAAAAAGUUGUCCUCGAAAGUGAUGGUAGUUUCGUAUAAUUGCUAGUAAUUUUAUUCCAUUGACAAAUUUCACAAAUAAAUAUUUCUAAAUUAUUGGAACAGCUUGUACUUUUGAAACGCCCAAAUAAAUAGAAAAAAAAAAAAAGACAUUACCACGCUUACUUUAAAAUCAAAACUUUUCACUAGAUUACUUAAAUGGAUGUUCUAACGAGUCCUCUUACGUGACUUUUUAAAUUAAUUUUUUAUUACGAGGUGGCUUUCUUGAAAAAUUUCUAAGUUCAAGGUGGAUGAUUUUCGAUCGACAUGCAAAAAAGGGGUCAAAACGUGGUUUUUACCCUUCUGUUCUCCAAUUUCAUUUGAAACUGAAACCAUAAAUUCUAGAAAGGGAAAUGCUCUUCUAAAAAGCUUGAGCAGUGGAUGGGUUCAAGAUGAGAUGAGUAGAGGAGAUGUUCAAGCUUAUGAGAUAACAAAGUGGGGAUCGGUCCAAUCGGGUUAAGUGAGGCACGAGUCUGACAACGCAACACGCGGAAUUGCGAUUAAUUUGGAUGAAUCACAAAGAAAUUGCUGGGUUUGGGACGGGCCUCGCCAGAAUCCUGCAGAUCGCAGAGAAAUUGAAGAUGAUGAAAACGGCAUGCUGGGGACAUUAAUGAAAAAUCACCAGCAUCUUCCUUCAUCAAGAGAGAGCUCUCUUCUUGGCCGUUACUUUUUUCUUUUCUCUGUUUUGCCGGUUCCUCCCUUGUUCCCGGUUCGGCCCUCUCUCUGUUUUUCUCUGACCUUCCCCUCUUUGCCCUCCCCAAUUUUACAGCUCCCUCUCUCCAGUUAGUUUUUUCUCCCCCGCUUUUCCAACACGAAAUUAAGCCGUUUGUCAUGCUUCUACUCUCCAUUCUAAGAUUCACCUCAAAUUUUGACCCAAAAUGCAAAGUUUUGAAUUAGGGUCGAAGAAGAGGGGAUUUGGUUGAUUUGGCCAAAUUAAAAAGAAUGAAUAUCUUUGUGCAAGAAUGAGUGAUUUCAACACAUUUCUAAACUCUAACUACUGGGAUUCGCCCUAAUAGCCACCCUUCCAACAUGGAAGGGGAAAAGUGGGGGGUUCAAAUCCCCACCUUCUCAAGGGGAAUGGGAUGAGGACGCAUAAGUUUCAGAAGUAGGUUUCGACACCCAUGCCCUGCAAGAGGCAGGGCAAAAGUCUGAGAAUAAGUGUAGAGUAGGAAUAAAGUAGGACUGACAAAAAAAAAACACAUUUCUAAACUCUGAAAUAAUCUGAACAAAAAAAAAAACUCUCAAAAUAAAUACCUUUGAAUUAUUAAAAAGUUGGUAAUUAGGAUACGAUAAAAUAAACAACGACAACCAAUUCAAAUAAAGUUGAUAACUUCAUAUAAGAACAAAAAAUUUAAGCUUGCAUUGUUCAGUGAUAAGUUUCAAUUUAAAUGAUGGUAAACUAUCAUAACAAUACUGACCAAAAAAAAAAAAAAAUUAUCAGAACAAUUGGUGAGUCUGUAACAAUUUAUUAAAUAUUGAUACAUUAGAGAUGUAAAUCCUAGAGUUAUCGUUGGCUUACAGAAUUGAUCCAUGGAUUUUCUCACUGACGCAGAGUUCUUCGUUGUCCCAAAAGAUGCACAGUCCGGCACCGGUUAAGAUAUGAUAAAAAGAAGUCAAUGAAUCCACAAGUAACGAGUCCUCUAAAAUUCAGGAGCACUAGGUACUCGGUUUCUUGCUGACGUCCCUGACUCUAAGGUUGCCGUAGUUGCUUUGCUUCAUGGAUCGAUAUCUCUGUUUUUCUUCCUCUGGUAUGGCUGAAGAAGAUGCUCUUGGAUGUAAUUUAACAAAGUUAGCACUUAAGAAGCACCGACACCCUCCAGGAGCUUUCGGAUAGUGUCCAACACUCCGUUAAGUGUCUAACACAUUCCGAUACGUUCCGACACACUUCGAUAGUCAACAAGUGUCGGAAAAUUCGAUAUGUGAUCUACUCUUCUCGACACACGAAUUCGAAAUUCCGACACACGAUUAUGACACAAAUAGGGUUAUUCGAGAAAUUCCAACAGCUUCCGCCACACACCGCCGUAGAGGUGGCGGGGGUUUGGUGCUCUUGACGGAGGCAGAGAAGCAGAAGGUGGAGGACUUACGUGGCCGUUGCACACCCAGCGGUGAAUCGAGCCGCUAUGUAGACGAGAUCCCGCCGUGGUGGCUGGGCUCGGGGGAGGUGGAGGCGGAGGCGGAGAUGGAAGAUGGGACCUGCUCCAUUGCGUGGCGGUGGUGACGUUGGACUUCCGACGAAAGGAGCAAAUGGGUAUGUCAGGAUGGGACGAAAGUUGGGAACUUGGGAGAGAUCUCAGGUUGGAAAAGCAAUGAAUCGAAGGAUUAUACGGUGGUGGUGGUGGUGGUGGUAGAGAUGGAGAUGGGGGAGGUUAUUCGCGGCGAAGUAAAGGCUCUUGUGUUUGAAUGAAUUGCUAAAAAGGCGCGGCCGCUUCAACGGGAUGGAGGACUCUUGAAUUCAUUUGAAACUUUUUUUUAAUUAAUUAAUUCUUUAUUUAUUUAUAAAUUCAAUAUUCAUUUAAUAUAUAACGUUAGGUUCGUGUCAGAAUUCUCUAUUUUUUUAAAUUGACAUGUUGACGUGUCGUGUUAUGCCGCAUCAUGUCGUGUCACGUGUCGCAUAUCUGUAUCGGUGCUACUUAUGUAAGCACCCAUACCAAUGAUUAAACACCAUUUCCAAAAGUGAUGGCUUUCUUUCUUUUUGUAAAAAAAAUACCACGACCCGUUGGAAGAAAGGCAAAGUCUGGGUCGUCGAUGAGAAACGACAAAACCGCUGAAUGGCGAUUAUUGGGGAAAAAGAUGUGCCGGGAGUCCGCUUAAUGCAUCACAUCCAAUCUCUUUUCUUUUUUCUUUUUUCAAAAAUUAACUCUACUACGGAAUAUUUUUCACUGAAAAUUCAGUUAUUAUUAAAGGAAAUGGAUUUUGCAACAAUUCUAGAUAGAAAAUAUCACAAGUAGACAAAGGAAUUGAUCACCGCACUUAAAAAGUAACUAAACGUACACAAAUUGUGCCAUAAUUUAAUCAAUGGCGCAACUUAACAACGCAGGAAUUUAAUCAAUGAUUUAAUACAUGGGAUCUACAAUAAAAAUGCCUGCUGGAAUUUAAUUAAUGACACGAACAGGGAAACUAAAGUUAUAAUGCAAGAAUUGAAAGAUAAUUGAAAAAUAACAUGUUUAUUUAUUUGUGCGAAUGAGAUAACUAUCUGGGAGAAGUCCUACUCCUCUUACAGCUGUAACCAUACCUCCACAUCUCUCAGAAUUUUCUGGACCAGGUUCUCCCCAUGAUAUGAUCUCAUCUCCAGGGGAUUGCUCCCUUAAAAUCGAGUUCUGAUCCCUCGUGUCUAUCCAUUGCCAAAUUCAUUGUUGCUCUACAAUUUAUUGGACUUUGUUGCUUCAUUCAUCAGUGAUUUCUCAUGCAACGUUCCAUAACCGAAUCUUGACACCCUCUAGGCAUCCGUUCUUCUCUUAGUGUUCCAACUGGUAAUCUAUCGACCUUUUAACCGAUAUUGUUGUCAACUAACUAUGUUACAACAAUGGCCAACUAUACGCGACCAUGUGUUGACAACUGUUUAAUGGUCAUUAAUAUAUGUUAAUAUCAAUAACAUGUCUUAUGAUCAUCGACAAUGGCUCAUAUGUUAAGUAAUAACUAGUAAUCAAGCCACGUGCGUAUCCAUAUUGACGAUCUGGUUAAUUUUUUGUGCAAACACAUUCACAAAGAGAAUAAUUAUUUCAUAUCUGAUUUACAACACGUCAUCAUGAUCAAAUAUAAAAUUAUUAUAAAACAGUGAUGAUACAAUACACUAAUGUGUUUUAGAAAUUCUCGCGUAUUAGAAGAAUAAUUAGAAGUGGACGUGCGAAAAUUCUAGAAAUUUGUGAGCAAGGAUGACAAAUUUUCGACGAUGACUUGUAAUGUUCAAAUCAUGAUAGUAAUUGUUCCCAUUCAUCACUAUUUUUUUUUUUUCAUUUGUGCUGGUAACUUCAACUUAAUAGGUUUUUCUCCCAAGCACCAUCAGUUUGAUCCCAUAAGGGGUAUAACUUAAUAGGUUUUUCUCCCAAGCACCAUCAGUUUGAUCCCAUAAGGGGUAUAACUUAAUAGGUUUUUCUUCCCAAGCACCAUCAGUUUCAUACCAUACGGGGUAUAAGUUGAUUAUGAUAAUUGAUAAUUAAAUAUAAAAAUAUUGUGCUGUAGUUAAUAUCAUAUUUUUUUAAAGAACAAAAAAUUCCACCGCGACGUGGACCUAAUAAAUAAGUCAUUUCUGCGAACGUGUCAUUAAGAGUUGCAAUCAUUAGUUUACUCUUUUUUCAGGAAAAACACGUUUGGUAUUGUUUGAUUUUCCUUGUGUUUGAAUCAUGACAUCUACAUUUCCUCUAAUCUUGAGAAACAAAUAUCGAAUUUAAAAAAUAAUUCAUAUUGAGACAAUUUGAGCUUACGUUUCUCUCACCUAGUCGACUUAUGAACAUCAGGUUACAAAUUGCAAAUGCUCAUAUGUUGGCGUUUGACAUUGCUAGCAUGAAGGUCGGGAUGGCUUUUUCAUGAGUGUUGGUAAAACUUGAAAGAGGGAUAAGCAAAACCGCUUUUAAUCACUGGUGAUAGGGCCGGUGAAUUCUGACAAGUGACACAAAUCGACAUGAAUUUAUAUAUAUAUAAAAGUUCUGUGGCAUUGUUACCAAAAUAUAGUGUUUUCCAAUUACACGACUUGACACAAUCACAAAACCCGAUUUAGGCAUAUGAACACGAAUUGGCAAGUCUUGUGAUAAUGUGAUAUAAGCAUCGAAAGCAAAUAAAAAGUAAUUUAUGUAAUUUGACGCUUUUUUCCAAAAGGGAGAUAAGGACACCACUAUUAUCAUAACUUUCGUACGGUACUCACUUGUGUGCUAUAACUUUUUUUUUCGAUCACUACCACAUUCACUUGAGCGCCAUUUUGAAUGUAAUAACUUUUUUAAAAACGCUUAUCCAAGUGUCAUAAAUUCAACGUGACAUGGCACUUGUGAUGAACGCUUUUUAAAAGUUAUUAUCCUUAAGUGAUUAAUUGAAAUGUUAUAGGACACUCAAGUGAUCGGAAAAAAAAUUGUAGCACUUAAUAAUCGUCAUAUGAAAGUUAUGGUACUCAAGUAAUCACAAUAUGAAAGUUAUGAAAAUCAAGUUAGCUUUUCGCUCCAUUUUGUAAUUUAAUGGAUUUAAUUUCUAUAUUGAUGAUACAUGACUAGACUUACAGAUUAUUGGAUCAUCUACUUAAGUAGGGGUGACCAUAGUCCGGGUGGGCGAUUCCCAACCCACCUUGGAACCUGGAACUACUCACUAAUAACUGGUUUCGAUAAAUUGGAAAUGGGAACUGUCCGUUGGAUCCAUAAAUUCACUCGGAAACCAAACCACAGGUGCGAUUUAGUUCUCAAGCAAGACCAUGAAACCUAUCCUCAAUCCCUCCAAACUUGCAUCCAUCAAUUAAUAUCAUGGUAAACCUAGUUUCUACAUAAAACAUUAAAGUUUGUUUGGCCUUAAAUUCGGGUUGAACAUCUCCAAUAAGUUUCCUCGAUCCUCUUCAUUUGUUUAUUUUUAUUUUUUUUAUUGAGAAAGCAGGUACAUAAAUUAUUAAAAUGAACAGAAAGUAGGAGGUUCAAUCCAAUUACGAACUCAAGAGACAAAAUGGGUCAAUAAUGUUCAAUACUGCAAAUAUAUAUACAUCUAUAUUAGUCAAAAAACUACAAAAUAGUUAAGUAAUUAAAUUAAUUUUUUUAAAAUUAUAUAUAUAUAUCAGUCCGGUCCAAUCCGAGGUGAGCAAUUCUAUACCCGAAACAAGGAACCGAAUUGAUACUCAUCGAUUUUAGCAAAUUGGAAUCGAAAAGCAGAUUGGUCCUUAUGUGAACCACAAGUCCAGUCUAAUUCCGGGCGGUUCCUAAUUCCUUUGCACACCCUUAUCAUUAAGUACUAAAAACGAAAUAUCCAAUGCUUACUAAGGUUACACACGUCUGAUGAUGCUAAAUUAAUUGAGACUUAUCUACAAUUCCUCGUUUAGUGAGGAAGUUUUGAUAUUCCCAAGUCAAUUUUUAGCUGCUAUCAAAUAAUAUUUCUCAUUUAACCAUGGGGCUACCUCAAUGGCCAAAAGUCUUAAAGUGAGUUAAGAGUUAAAUAGAAUAGACAAAAAUAUAUAGGCAAUAAUCAAAUUUUAUGUGGAAUAUUUUUGUUAUGGCAUAUGCAGAAACUAUAACAAAAAUGAAAUUGAGAAGAAUAAAAGAACACCAAAUUUUAUGUGGAAACCUUUUCCUUUACAAGAAAAACCAUGGGGAGAGGAGAAGCAAAUAUCCAUUAUAGAAAUCAAAGAUUACAAAAGGUGGCUCUGAAAAGCUUAAGAGUCUUUUUAUCUCGACUUCUUAUAUAUAGGCAAUAAUCAAAUCCAAAGUAGGAAACUUCUCCAACUAGGAAAAACAUUCAAUUAGGAAAUCUAUUCAAAAUAGGAAACCUACUUGAAUUAGAAAACUUUCCUUUUCGAGCUCAAACAAGAGACAUAUCCAACAAUCUCUACCUUGACUCGACGUUUGAAUCAAGUUACAAUCGCUUGGCUUGAAUUCUACAUAAGCAAUAAACAAUAUUCUCCUCCCAUUAGAGUAAAACUCAGUUGUAGCAAAUAUUAAUCAAAUCCAAGCAAUGCUUGAAUUUGGUGAUAAGCAAAGGCUUCGUUAAUAUAUUAGCUAGAUCAUUUUUAUAUCAAUCUUCAAGACCUUAAUAUAGCUAUCAACAAGAAUGUCUCGAAUAAAUGAUAUUGUACAUCAAUGUGCUUUGUUCUCCGAUGAUACAUUUGAUCUUUAGUAAGAUGUAUCGACAACAAUCAUACCAUGAUCCACACUGAGCUCUCUAAAUAAGCCUCUUAACCAUAUAGCCUCUUUAAUUGCUCCUGCAAUAGUCAUAUAGUCUGCUUCUAUAGUAGAAAAAGCUAUUGUAUGUUGUAAAGUAGCUUUCCAACUGAUUGCACAACCUUCAAUAAUAAAGAUGUACUUAGUCAAAGACCUCCUCUUAACAAGGGCACUAGCAUAAUCAGAAUCAACGUAUCCUAUCAGAAUGUUACCAGUUUUUCUAAACUUCAAACUAAAAUCAAAAGUACUUUUCAAAUAUCUCAAAAUUCACUUCACAACUUAUCAAUGAACUUUUCCUGGGCAUGAUAAAUAUCCACCUACCACACUAAUAGCAUGUGAAAUAGCGGGUUGAGUACAAAUCAUGGCAUAUAUAAGGCUAUCAACUGCACUAGAGUAUGAAAUAUGUGACAUAUAUUUUAUGUCAUCAUCUAUUUGUGAACAUGAAUUAGUUGAUAAUCUAAAAUGAGUAGCAAGAGGAGUACUUACUGGUUUAGCAUCUUUCAUGCCAAAAUGAUUUAACACCUUCUCGAUGUAGCUUUUCUAGGAGAGAUAUAAUUUUCCCCUUUUACGAUCUCGCCGAAUUUCCAUGCCUAGAAUUUUCUUUGUUGCACCUAAAUUCUUCAUCUCAAAUUCAGCACUUAACUUUGCCUUCAAAUUCUGAUUAUCAGAUGUAUCUUUUGUCACAAUCAACAUAUCAUCAACAUAUAAUAAAAGAAAAAUGAAAGAGCCGUUAGGAAAUUUGCCCAAAUAUACACAACUAUCAUAUUUGCUCCUACAAUAGCCAAGAUGCAUCAUAAACGAAUCAAACCUUUUAUACCAUUGUCUAAACGAUUGUUUUAGGCUAUAUAUAGACUUUUUCAAUAGACAAACAUGAUCUUUCUUACCUUCAAAUUGAAAACCUUUUGUUGGCUCAUAUAGAUUUUCUCUUCAAGUUCACCAUAUAAGAAAGGGAUAAGUACACUAAUGGUGCCAAAAGUUGUGUACGGCGCUCACUUUGGUGCCAAAAGUUUCUGUCGGAUCACUUAAGUGCCAAAUCGGAGGAAAAACGCUCACUUUGGUGCCACCGGCGAAAGAUUCCGGCCUCCGGCGAAAGAUUCCGACCAAAAUGAUUUUUUUUAAAAAAAAAAAUUGAUAAGCCUUUAAAUGACGUCGUUUUCGGUCCUCCUUAAGAAAACGACGUCGUUUUGCCGUCCUACGUGGAUGGCUUCAUGGAAACGACGCCGUUUAGCUCACAUGGGGAAGAAAUUAGGGUUUCGGCGAGGUUGAAGCCGUGGCCAUCGUCGGGGUUGAAGCUGCGGCCGCCGAGUGGCCAUCAUCGAGGUCGGGGUCGAGGUCGGGGUCGAAGCUACGACCGUCGAGUGGCCAUCGUCGGGGUCAGGGUCAGGGUUUGAGCCGCGGCCAUCGAGUGGCCAUCGUCGCGGUCGGGGUCGAGGUCGAGGUCGGAGCUACGGCCGCCGAGUGGCCAUCGUCGGGGUCGGGAUCGGGGUCGGGGUCGAGGUCGGAGCCGCUGCCGUUGAGUGGCCAUCGUCGCGGUUGGGGUCGAGGUCGGGGUCGAAGCCGUGGCCGCCGAGCGCGAGGACCGUCGAGGACGGCGACGGCCGGAGAUUAGGGUUUUGAAUUGGGGGAGACACCAAACGGCGUCGUUUUGGUGUUUGGAUGCUGACUCAGCUCUCCGACGAGCCACGUCGGCGUCAAAAAUUAAUAAAAAAAGGCCACGUCGGAUUUCCGGCCAAUUUCGUCGGAGUUGGCACCAAAGUGAGCGUUUUUCAAAUUUUUUGGCACUUAAGUGAUCCGACGGAAACUUUUGGCACCAAAGUGAGCGCCGUACACAACUUAUGGCACCAUUAGUGUACUUCCCCCUAUAAGAAAAAAAAAUUCACAUCUAAUUACUCCAACUCUAAAUCAUGCAUGGCAACUAACGCAAGAAAAAUCCGAAUAGAGCUGUAUUUAACAAUAGGUGAAAACACAUCAUCAAAAUCAACUUCCUCAAUAUGACCAUAGCCUUUAGCAACUAUAUGAACUUUGAAUAUGAUAUCUUCAACUCUAGGGAUACCUUCAUUUCUUUUGAAAACCUAUUUACAGCUCACAGUUUUAUUUCAUAUUGGUAGUUUGACAAGCUCCCAAGUUUGAUUCUUUUCAAAAGAUUCCAUCUCUUCAUUCAUAGCAACUAAAUGCUUUACUAAACCUUUUGAAGAAAUAGCUUCUUUGUAGGUUUUAGGCUCAUUAUACUCUCCUGACUCUACAACUGGAACAGCAUAAGCAACAAAAUUUGAAAACUCAUAUUUCCACAGAGGCUUCACUGUUCUUCUUGGUCUAUCUUUGACAAUAGAAUAUUGUUCCUCUUCAGGUUCUCUAAACUCAAUAUUAUUAGUAGACGAUUAAAUUGGUUGCGAAGAAAUUACUUCAAACUCUACUUUCACUAGAAUACUUUCUGGAUUUUCAUCACAAGAAAUAGAUAAUUCUUUCUUAGGAUGAAGCGUAGUAGACUCAUUAAAAGUAACAUCUCUACUGAUAAUAAUCUUAGAUGAAUUAACACACCAAAGUCUAUAACCUUUUACAUCAGAAGCAUAGCCAAAAAAGAUGCAUUUUUUUGCUCUAGGCUCUAAUUUGCCUUCACUAACAUGUGCAUAUGCUGGAUGUCAAAAUAUUUUAGAGAAGAAUAAUCAACAAGUUUACCUGACCAUAUGUCCUCGAGUGUCUUGCACUCAAUAGAUAUGCAAGGAGAACAAUUUAUCAACCAAGCAGUUAAUUGACAGCUUUCAGCCCAAAACUCCUUGCCUAAAUUAGCAUUAGACAAUAGGCACCUAGUCCUUUCAAUAAAGUUUUAUUCAUGCGUUCCACAAUACCAUCGUACUAUGGUGUAUUCACUAUUGUAUGAUGUCUCAUAAUACUUCAAUUUUGCAAAACUCAUUAAACUCACCUACACAAAAUUCCGGUUCAUUAUUUAUUCUCAACCGCUUAAUCUUCUUACCAGCUUGCUUCUCAUUAAUGAUUUCCAUUGUUUAAAUGUAACAAAAACAUCAUUGUUUGUUUUUUCUUUAAAAAUCAUCAAUGAAAGUGAGUAAAUACCUGGAACGAAAGCCUUUAGAAGGAAUUCCAUCGCGGUCCCACGUACAACUCCACGGACAUAACCUCAACAAUGAUCCCAAGUUUCUCUAGUUCAUAUAUUAUCAAUGAUCCCAAGUUUCUCUCUAGUUCAUAUAUAUCAAUGCAGCCGUUUUACCAAAUAGAGUAAAUUGACCUCUCUCGUGACUUGUAAAUCCCUUCAAUUGAAAAGUUUCUAGGACAUUUAAUCCUCCUAGGAAAACAUCAGAGUCAUGAGAGCUUACAUCUAUCAUGAAAAAUUGUCUCAGAGGGACAUUAUUUCGAAAGUAUUGAAACUAAGUACAUCUUGAACUACUUCGGUAUUCGGUAGAUAACCCACUCAACGACCUGCCUAUCCUCUUUACAACCAAUUACCACUGUGUUUUGUGUGUUGUUCAUAAAUUCAUCUAAAUUCACAAGAAACCCUUCCUUUUUAAGGGCCGGAUUUAUAGCUAAAGUAUAAGUAUCUGCCUGAAACUUAAGGUUGGGAAUCUUUGUGAACCUCGGGCAAAGAUGGUGAUGAUGUGGCACUGAUUCUGCCAGGCAGCAGAGUGUUCCUACGGGACGACCGCUUCCUAGGAACAAGUACACGCUCAUUUUCCCACUUCUCACCAACAUCAUCGUCAUCUUCGUCAUCAUCGUCGACACUUUUGAAUACUGGUUGGAGAUAUGCAUCUUGAAGGAAGCUAUUCAGGUUCAGUUGUGGUUCCCUUGCACAAUCCAGGGUGUCCUUCAUAAUUGCCUCUUGAAAACAAUGGCCAAACCAAACAUCACGAGAAGAAACUGUUAGCUUUCUUUUGUUUUCACCUUUGCUUUUCCCUGAUUAUCAGCAUGACAUACGUUAUAACAUUAUCCAAAUUAUCAAAGAUCAAAAAAGAUACAGCCAUAUUUGAGGAUUGGGGAUGGCCUCUCAGUCUCACUUUGGUUUGAUAACCGGCACCCUAGGGGUCCUUUGAACUUAAUAUUUUCAAACUCAAUCAUCUAUAGUCCCGGGCUUUCUAGGCAGGCAACAAUGACAGAUCUUUUCUCUGAUGCUGGGCAGCCUCUCAAGAUGGUGCUUGAGUUGUGGGAGCACCCCCUCCCGAGACUUUCCCAAAUCUCGGAUUGCUUUUACUAGAGAGAGAAUUCGUCAAGCCGGUUCACUAUUGCUACGGCUUGGGAGACCAUUAGGCAGAAGAGGACUCGGGUCCAUUGGCAUGCGUUCAUCUGGAACAAUGCAAUCAUGACACGGUAUCAAGUAAACCUUUGGCUUAUAGCCAAGCGCAGGCUUCCCACCCGGGCUCUUUUAUUAUCUUAUGGUAGAAUAGAAAGUGGAUCAUGUGCUUUUUGCAAUGAUAUGCCUUAUUCUAUUGACCAUCUAUUUUGUUGUUGUCGAGUCACGACCGGUGUUGCUUUCUUUUGGGCGGCCAGAUGCAAUCUGUCUUGGCGUAAUAGGUCUUGGGGGAAGAAUAUCCAUUAGGCCACCACCUUCUGGUUGGGCAACGAUUUCUAUAAGUGUAUUGCCCGCUUUUCCUUUGGUGCGCUAUGUCAUAUUAUUUGGAAAAACAAGAAUGGCAUUAUAUUUAAAGAACAGCCACUUGUUGUCCCGGCUGUGAAAAACCAUCUAUUUAAAGUGGUUAGAAAUAAGGCUAUCACCUUCAGAAAUGUGGACGAUAACUUCAGGAAUAGAAGACUGCACGGAGCUGGGGCAUUGACCCGAUUAUCUACUCUGGGGACCCUUAAUCGCCUCCCUAACUUCAGCUGACGAGUGUAUGUUGAUCAAUCAAAGGUUGUUGCUGCUUGCUGCGGUAGCUGUUGAUCUUUUCUCCUCCCUAGCCAAGGGUGUUUUUGUAUCUGGGUGCCGGUUGUCCAUGCCGUGCUAGUCUCUUGUUCUUUUGGCUUCUGUUGUAGUUUGGGUGCCACGUUUGGUGGCUUUUACAUCUCGGCAUCCGUCCACUCAUAAUGAUCUUAUCAUAUUUAGUGUAAGUUUUGGUGCCGUGCUCUUUUGUAUAGUUGGUCUUUGCUCAAUAUAAUUAUUACCUUUUACCAACAAAAAAAAAAAAAAAGAUACAACCAGACAAUACAACUAUACAAAUCCAUAAACCUCUUUUCCGACCUGUUUGAGCCAUCUCCCUAUAUAAGUCAUCUCUUAUCCGGAUGGAUUGGCCAUAUUAGGGCGCGAAUGAUAACCAUUCUGGUCAGAAAUUGAUUUAUAGAAGAAAAAUAGAUUUUUCUAUUUCUAUUUUUAGAUGAGUUUCUAAGCAAAAAUACCUGUUUGAUAACGACACAAAAUUUCUACUCCCAAAAUAGAAAUUCGUUUGAUAACGACAUAAAAUUUCUCCCUUUUGAACAACGGUGACUGGUAAUGGUCGACAGCGAUCGACGACCGGCGACCAGUAUGGCAGCGACAGCGACCGGCAACUAGCAACCAAUAGUGGUCGGCGGCGACUAGCGGACGGCAGCCAGCCACUAGCAACCGGUGGCCGAUGACCGGGGCGGUGGCGACCGGCAACCGACAACCGGCGUCCGGUGGCGGCAAAUGACAAACGAUGGUUGAUGGCGAUGGAUGGACGAUUGGUUCGUAGCAAGGACGAACAAUGAUCGAUUCGUAGCAAGAAUUUUUAUGUCUUAUUUAUGUUCCAAAAAUAGAAAAGUAAAAAAAAAUUGUGCUUCUGAUUUAUGUUCCAAACUUAUUUCUAGAACAAAAAUCUAUUUCAAAAAUAGAAAAAUGAAAUAAUUUUAUCAAAUGGAUUUCUAUUCCAGAAACAAGUUUGGAAUAAAAAAAUUGCUUCUUGAAUAGAAAUUUUAGUUUGUUAUGCACCCCCUUAGUAAUACCAAAAAAAAUUGCAUCAGGGCUAACUUAGGAUGUUCCAUGCUAAUGCCUUCAUUGAAUGAUUGGGCAAAACUAAAAGCAACAACUAUCCUCUAUGUAGAUGCUGGGAUCCAGUGAAAAGCAAUCAAGCAAGUCAGCACAUUAGAGAAACUUAAGCACAAGGCUUCAAUUACUUCUAUGGACAUAAAAACACUUGUUUGCAAAGCCUAAAAUUACGGACCUGUAAUGGAUGUAUAACAAAGGCAACUUCAUAACGGCCUUUGCAGAACCUAUGGAAACAGAUAGUGAGAACUGGAAGAGCAAUGAGGAAUGGAGUUAAAUUGGCAGCUUGCUUCAUAGCCAACAGUCCAAAUAAAAGCAACUGUGAUAUAAUUAAUGCAAUAAUAACACGAAGAUGCACAUCAUGCCAAAAUGCUGCAGCACUUUCAUACUCCUGGUUGUCGACGUUUAUUAUCCAAAAUAUUCAAAGGAUGUUAGGAUAAACACAAUGGAAUCAUGGAAGAAGAAGAAUAAGAAGUAGAAGAAGGGCUCAACGUGAUGCAUCAAACAUUGGUUCUUAAAAAAAACAAGUAUGUAUAAGCAAAGAUAUAUUCAGUAUAGAUUCUAUAAAAGUCUGGAAGUCAUCCCCAUGCACUCCCUUAUGCAUAAGUGUUAUAACACCAUUGAUCUAAAAACAAGAAAAAUCAACACCCAGACCCUUGGAGUGCCAAAAGUUGGCACAAAUGGACACUUAAGUGCCAAAAGUUACGAAAGUAACAUUUAAGUGCCAAAAUCAAAGCAAAAUAGAUCAUUUAAGUGCCAUCGACGAGAAAAUCCAACCAAAACGCUGACAUUGCAAUUUUCUGACGAGUUGCAUGCAAAACAACGUCGUUUUGUAUGCUGAUGUGGCUAAACAGUGUCAAAACGACAUCGUUUUGGUAUAAUUUGAAUUUUAACAUAAUAAUUAAAUUAAAUUUUAAAAAAUUAAGUAAUUAAUUCUUUUCUUUUUUUUUAAAGGAUGGGGGAAGGAGGAGGAGGGAGGCCGCUGAGGGCUCAGCCCUCGCCGCCGCCUCCCCUCCAUCACUGAGGAGGAGGGGGGGUGUCGGCCGGGGCCGCCGAGCUGCAGCGGCCCUUGGGUUGGCCGAGCGAGGGUCGGCGACCCUCGUCGCCGGUCCUCGGCCAGAGCUCAGCAGCCCCAACCAACCCUCCCCCACCUUCCAACCACGGUGGGGAGGCAGCAACGACAAGGGCUCAGCCCUCAGCCCUCAGCUGACUUCCUCCUCCUCCUCCUACUCCGUUAUUAUUAUUAUUAUUAUUAUUAUUAUUAUUAUUAUUAUUAUUAUUAUUAUUAUUAUUAUUAUUAUUAUUAUUAUUAUUAUUAUUAUUAUUAUUAUUAUUAUUAUUAUUAUUAUUAUUAUUAUUAUUAUUAUUAUAUUAUUAUUAUUAUNNNNNNNNNNNNNNNNNNNNNNNNNNNNNNNNNNNNNNNNNNNNNNNNNNNNNNNNNNNNNNNNNNNNNNNNNNNNNNNNNNNNNNNNNNNNNNNNNNNNACAAAAUGGUAAAGUAUUUUGUGAGAAGAAAUAUCUGGUGAUUCUUGUUUAUAUAUAUAUACUUAUAUUGUGAUUAAUAAAUAUAUUAUAAUAUAAUAGGAUAUACUGGACGGACAAUACUCGGGCGACCGGCCGUCGAGGCUCGGGCUCGCCCAGACAAGGCGAGGCUCGGCCUCGCCGAGGGCCGGCGAGCCUCGCCAUGGCUGGGCGAGGCUGCCGGCCCCGUCGGCCGGUUGCCGGAGGCCGGUGACCGGCCGAAAAAAGAAAAAAUAAAAAAGAAAGGAAAAAAUGAAAAAUAAAAUAAAAAUAUUUAAAAAAUUAAAAGAAACAAAAAAAGAAUAAAAUUUACCAAACGUGUUUCUGUUCAUUUUUUAUUCCCGGACCAAACGUUACCAAACGCGAUCUUUUGUUCAAAAAUUGUUCCCCGGAACAGAAACACUUUUUUUUGUUUCUGUUCCCAGGAACAAAAAAAGAACAGAAACGUUACCAUUCGCACCCUUAGUGAUCCCAUCAUUCCCUUGGUAAUAAUAACUCACAAAUACUUUCCUAGAACCACUGCAGGUAAUAUCAUCACAACUGAGGAUAAUCAUGGUUGAACGUCCUCUAGCUGUUCCUACAUUUCAGGCAUAUGAGCGAUGAAACUUCAAAGAAGAUACUCCCAAUCAUUGUUUUCGUAAGUACCUGAUGACGAAACACAACAUAAGCCAGGCAAAAGAAAGCAAGUAUGAAAGGAAGCAAGGCCGGUGUCACUGUAGCAUACACGGGGCCCAGUAAGUAAAACGGAAUUUGAGGUUCUCCAGUGUUGAAACCAAUGCUUCUAGGAUCCACUGCCUCCUCCCUAUCCUAUUCACUUAUCAAACUCGUGAAUCUUUCGGACGCAAAGCCCAUUAACUCCCUCACCGGGUCACAUUCACUGUGGGAAGUAAUUCUUGUAGUGGGAGGUUUUCAUCUCGGCUGCCUAUCUGAACCCUCAAAUAUUACGUGGCUAAAAAAAAUGUUACUUUAAUUAUUACUGAUGCAAAGACCUAAUGCACAUAUAUCAUGCUUUAGAUCAUAGGCAAUGUUAUUUUAGUCUUAUUUGGAAUGGAAAUUUGACAAUUUUUACCUAAAAUCUGAUAAAUAAAUGGUAUUAAAAACAAUGCAUAGUGACAAAACUUGAUCAUUUCAAAAAGUACAGGGCCUAAACAUGUAUCUUUAUUUAGAUAUUUUUACAAGCAAGACUCCCACGUCAAUAGCAGAAGCUCACUCAAUAAUUUCGAGCGAUUUUUUUUUUCACAGAAGUUUGAUAGAAUGACUUAUACUGUCAACUGGAAUAGUACAAAAAUCAGAAUUACAAUUAAACGGACUAUAAGGGGCUAUUUGUUAACUAUCUGAAUAGUGACUGAUUCUGAUUUUUUGCUCCCGGGAGUAGCUUUGAAAUAGAAUCACGUUUGAUAAAAAUUUUGUUCCUGGGAACAAAUUUCUAUCUUUUUGUUUCUGAAAAUAGAUUUGGAACAAAAUUAAGAAGAAAAAAAAAGUUGAUUCUUGUUCCCCGAAACAAAUUUAAGAAUCAAGACCAUAUUUCUCUUCUUUUUCCAUUUUCUCUUAUUCUUCUUCUCUUUUCUUCUUCUUCAUCCACCGCCAUCCCGCAGUCGCCAUCCACCACCAUCCGCCGCCAUCCACCGCCCGCCACCCCCCGCCGCCAAUCGCUAGCAACCAAUCUAGCAAGCUCGCCGGUGGCCAAGCGGGCCUCACCCAGCCCCACUGAGGCCUGCCUAGCCAUCAGCGAGGCCCAGCCUCGACGGGGCUAGGCUAGCCUUGCUAGUGGCCAAGCGGGCCUCACCCAGCUACCGACGAGGCUCGGCCAACGAGAGCCGACCUCAUCAAGGGUCGGCGACGCUUCGGUGAGGUCGCCCUCGUCUGGCCGAUUACCGAUCGAGCGACCAGCCACUUGAAGAAGAAGAAUAAGAGAGAGAAAGGAAAAAAAAGUAAGAAAAAAUAUUUAAAAAUGAAAAGAAAUUAAUUUAGAACAGAAUCAAUAAGCACAGUACCAAACAUAAUUUUAUUCCAAAAUCAGAAAUUUUAUACAGUUAUUAAACGGCUUAAAAUGCUUAAAAAUUGUUCCUGGGAACAGAAUAAAAAAUAAUCAUUUCUGAUCAAAAUUUAUUCUCAGAAAUAAAAUUGUUAUCAAACACACCCUAAGGAUCAAAGGCGGAUUUCGCCAAUACUGCAGACAAAAAAUGUAAUUUAUCCGGUCUUUUUUUAGUAUGUUAUUCAAAGUUUUUAACUUUAAAACUGCCAUCUAGGAUACCAGUAUGACAAUUAGCGCCAUGUCAAUAAUUACAUCAUAAUUUUUGUCUAAUGUAUUAUUGCCCAACGUUAAAAUGUGUGAUGCCAAGAAAAGUUGUUGGGUCUCAACAGUCACUUCUUCCUUCUCUCGACAGAAAGUAAAACAGCUUUUACAUUUCUGACAAUUUGUCCAUCCAUUGAAAUCCAGGCGGCCAUAAGGGAAUUUGCAUCGCCACGCAUCUUUGGUCAAAAAUGAAAAGCUAGAAAAACAACAAAUUGAAUAGGUGAAAAGAAAUAACCACUUUUAAGUGUUGGUUUGUCUAAACGAGAGUUAGAAUAGGAGUAAAGUAGGAUUGAUAGAAAAAAAACAAACAGGUGAAAAGAAAUUAAGAGGGUCAACAAAUAGAAGACAAUUAAAAUUCGUUGCUUGAAAUAGUCUAGACACAGUGCGCUAUUCGGUUGAUUUCUCGUUUGUAUCAAUCUCGAGCCGCAAAUUCAAGCGGCGGAACUUGAGAUUCUUCACAUACCUUCAAAUUCAAGCCGCAAAUUCAAGUCGGCUUAUUGAUAUCGCAAGGCACUACAAUGAUGAAGCAAUCAGAAACCAGAGCAGAACAAAGAACCGUUGGAGCCGCUGAGUAUUUGCUAUAGUAUCUUUCUAUGCGUUGAUUGUUGCGUUCAAGCACACCUACCUUCCUGAAAAGACUUCGGAAGACAUCUUGAUUCACCCAUUUUCCGUGCAUUCUUCCAAAAAUACAUCGACAUCUGAAGGAGGAUUAAUACCAAGUCAUCAUCGACAGGCUACCAUAUGAAAAGCCUUUUCAUCUAGGCAAAUAACUCGGGCGGGAAUUAUGUCAAAAAAUUUUCCUAUUAACUGACAGGCAAUACUGCCGCUGAUGGGGCUGACAUGUAGUAGUAUGCCCCAUAUGUUACAUCUUGUUAGCUUGAAUUUUGAAUCUCACAUUAUGAAAAAAAAAAAAAAAAAAAUCGGAACAUCAUUGGAUGUUUGGGCAAAAUUUUGAAGGCAAAAAAAAAAAAAAAAAAAGAUGUAUUUGCUGCUGUUUUCCAUCAGCUCGGCAAUUUCUCCUCCUGCUCAACAGGGACACACGGUCUCCAAAUAGUUUCCGUUCCGACAUCCAUGAGCGCAAUCCCCUUCACAAUUUUUUUUUGGUCGAAAAUAGAUAACUUUCAUUACUUAACCAUCAUCAGAACACCACAAAGUUUCAACAUCUAAGUAUAAAAUUAACGAAGGAGAAGGGGGGGACAACUUAUCCAGUUGAGGGGAAGAUCUCCUGCUCGGUGGGCCUCCGCUGCUCUAUUGGCUUCUCUGGGUUGGUGGGCUAAUUUGAUUUGAGGCAUGUUUUUCAAAAGAGUUUUGCAAUCAUCAGCUACUGCUCGUGCGGCCCAUACAAAUUCUUUUUGGCCCGAAAUACCUUGAAUAGUUUCUAGAUUGUUGAAGUGAGUUGGAACUCUUUUGCACUUUCCAAGUACACGACAGAUCGUACACUUCUGUUCUGUUCAAAGUGUUGGAGCCAAAGUAAAGCUUCCCUCACUGCUAGGGUUUCAGCGAUCAAGACUGAGGGCGCGUGGAUGGGUUUCGAGAAGCCGUCGAUGAGGAGCCUACUACUAUUUCGAACAACUCCAGCGAUCGAACCAGUCAACGUGGAGCUGCACCAGGCGCUGUCAACGUUGAUUUUGCAGGUAUGGGAUGCUUUUGUCGUCGACGAGGAGCUGCACCAGGCACUGUCAGCAUUGCUUUUGCAGGUAUGGGGUGCUUUUGCUGUCCACGGGUUGCUAUUCUUCGGAUCUAGCCUCAUCUUUUGUUGCUGCGAUCUGUUCCGCAGGAGUCGUUUGGCCGAUGAGCUUGGAAAAUCACAGUAUUCCUCGCUUUCCAGAUCUGCCAUAAAAUCUCAGCGAAAAAAGCUUUUGCCUGAGAAUUCGCCGCCGAGGUAAGGGCGUCCAGGACCCAUUUAUCAAUUCGGGUUAUUUGCGUUGGGGAAGUGUCGAUCUAUAGUCUCGGUUCUGACCAAAUAGUCUCGGUUCUGCCUGAGAAUCGGCCUUUCAACCGCUCCAGAAUCUACAUUGAAGAAAUUUCACAUUUAAAGCGAAUUCGAUCCAAGAAAAACUCAAUAAUAUUCAUAAGAACUUGCAUCACCUCAGAAUAAGUGAUAGGGGGCAGCAAACCCAGAAUAUCUAAAAUGCCCUUUAAUUCUUUCUCUAUCUCAGUAAGGGAUUGAAUUAUUGCCAAUUGCCAUUGCUUCUGCUGCUUCUUCUGGAGUGAAUUAGAGAACAUACUGAUUUUAAAAGUUAGAGAAAGUAAAGCAUAAACAAUACACAACAGAGAGAACGUUUGAAAAGGUGCAGCUUCUUUCAUGGUAAAGAAACAGUAAACCUAAUUACCUUGAGGGUGUUAGUAUUGUUGUUUAUGAACUUCAAGGCAUCCUGAAAAGCACCUGUCAGCACAUGUGAGGUGUUCAAGUCGUCGGCCAUUUUGUCGUGAAAUUCCUUCUGGAAGCCUUUGAUGCGUUUCUCGGCAUCUGGAAGAAACCGGACUGCUUUGCCUUUUGGUUCUGUACCCUCGCUGGCAGUUGCCUCUCUGAACAACGACAGAGUAUCUUCACAGUCUUGUAAUGUCUAACAUUGAGAGGACAUCCCCAGUAAAUUUUCUAUCAGAAAGCAAAGUCCAAGUUUGCAUGCAUGUCACUCACACAAAUACAUCCAACAUAAUCAAGGAAGGGCAUUUCAGAGGGACUCGGAGUAGUGGCUGCUGGCACUAGAAUUUGGCCAAAACCAUCCAAACAAUUCAUACAGGUCAUUGCAGAGACAAUAGGAAUGGUUUCUUCUCUAACAGCAUCAAAUCCUCAUGGUAUCUUCUAAUUAGUUCAGUCAAGCUAGCCCACCCUUUCAUUAGCUACAUAUGAGUCUGAGACCAAAGACUAUUGUAUGAGUAAGCAGCCAGAAAGAUGAGAAGUGAUUUGCAGUUAAUAAAACAAAAUUUUAUACCUGAUAUAUAAUAGACAGCCUCUGAUGCACCCUCCAACUGUAACACUGAAUAGUUGAGAGGAGAUCUAGAGUGUACACUUAUCAAGAAGUGUCUCAAAGCCAGUGGAUGGUAUUGCUCUGUAAUCUAUAGUUAAUACAAACUGAGUAUUUUUAGACACCAGGAAUGAUGAGAGCUCAAGAUAGAUUUUAAAACAUCAAGAAAGAAAACGGAACAAAAUUUGCAACACUACCUGACGAAUCGUAAAAAAGUCAUCCAGUGAUUUUGACAUUUUCUCAUUGUUGUUGGUCACGUGCCCAUUAUGCAUCCAAUAACUCACACAGCUCUCUUGGCAUGCAGCACGACUCUGGGCAAUUCAUUCUCGUGAUGGGGAAAGAUCAGGUCAAUUCCACUGCCGUGGAUAUCAACCAUCAAAUCUGAAAGACAGAUAAUGAGCACUCAUUGCGCUGCAUUCGGUUCGCCCUCAUCCGACGCUAGCAAGGGUUGCCCUUGCCUAAGUUCGAUGACCUCCGCCAUGGCUGAUGGAGGGAAAGGGGAAAAAGAAUGAAGGGAAAAAAAAAAAAGUAAACGGAAAAAAAUAAAUUAAAAGACGAAAAUGCCCUUCAGUCUAAGAGGUUAGACCCUUUUUUGAAAUUGAUAUGACCACUUUUAAGUUCUCUUUUAAAAUAAAUUUCAUGUUAGGUCCUUAUUCAAGAUGAUUUGGUCACUUCAAACUCUUAUUUGAGAAAACAAUGGCACUUCAAGUCUUUAUUAAAAUUUUCUCUUAUUUAUACUUUAAAAGAUUUGAGCAUGCAAAAGUUCGCCGGGUAAACAAAUUCAACUAGUACUAAUAUAGUAGUACUAGUAUAAAAAAUAUUAUACUAGUACUAAAUUAUGGCAAGCGUCUUUAAAUCAAUUACUUUCAUUGUUAAAAUAUCCAAUAUAUAUGCUGAAAUAGAGCAUAAAAUGAGUGAAAAAAAGAAUAAUUUGUUCAUUUUUGUUCCUUCGAAUCAAUCAUCCCUUUUGACUUUGUCAAAAUUUCAAACCAUUUGUGCAGCUACAUUAAGCACUACUAGUUGCAUUGUUCAAAUAGAUAGCUAAAGAUCUCUUGUGAAGAGAUGCAAACUUGCGACAAGCAGCAAUGCAAGCUCUGAAGCGAGCGUGAAUCGAUAACGAUUUGUGCAUCGAGUGAAACAGACCGGAUGAUAAUAUUACCGGCGAGAAGGAUGGUCAUUUGCUGCCUACGUGUGGUAGGCGAUUAUAAGUGGAUGUAGUGAUGAAAUCGGAUUUAUUCACCAUCUUGAAUUGGAAAUUGUGGGAUCAAUGAAGAGAAAGGUCGCUAAAAAAGGGACUGGCAGGGGCUUUACGACGAUGAUAAAAAUGGUACGAGUUGAUUAAGAAGGUUGACUACUGAAGACCUUUUAUAGAAGUCCAUGUAUUAGUUAAUGUCGGUGAGUUUAGCUGAACUCUUUUUAUUUUUAGGUGCGGGAUGAGUUAUGAUGAACAAGUUUUAGAAGGUGGAGGGAGAGGAGUUUAGGUACUUUGCUUUCUGCUUUCAAUUUCGUUGCAAAAAGUAGUUUUUGAGCCAUAAAUCAUGGCUCUUCGUGGAUGAAAAUUACUCUUAAUUCCUUUAAUAUAGUUAGAGCGCACAGCAAAAAUUGGGAGAUCGCUAGAAGGGAGCCCAAGCUUACCCAUAUUAAACCAUUUCAGCCUAUCUAGACUCAGAUUGUUUUAUGAAAAAAAUUUAGUAUAUUUAAGUGCUUAUUUGGUAUAGGUUUUUCUGUAGUGGCUUUAAAUGUAAAAAUGUGCGGUCAAUGAAACGCUUGUUUGUUCUUUUUUGGGCCUUUUUAUUUAUUUAUUUAUUUUCAACCUUUUGUGAUCGGGUUAGGGGGGAAUUAUUAAGGAAUGAUAGGUGGCCUCCCUCUCCGGUCCGGACCCAACAUUGUAAGGUUUCGGGCCGUGGUCGGAUCCUGAGAGCAUUUCGGGCCAACCCGUUAAACAACAAUUUUUUUGUAUUUUGUUUUUUUUUUUUUGAAUGUGUUGCCUCGUUUGGAUUUUAAAGUUUUUUUCGUUCUUUUUUUAAUGAGCGCUUUUUUUUUUUUUUUUUCCGUUCGGUCAAAUAUCACCGUUAUUUGCAGGGGCAAUGCGUUCGGGUUAGGUCGGUAUCCAGCCUGGAAUCGAAAAUAGACCUAUUGACUCUCGGUUCCAAAAGAUUGGAAUGGCGAACCGAAUCGGUCGGUUCUUCGUCCAAAUUCUAACCUAAUGGAUCGAGAGGGGAAAACAAUCAUGCUGGAAAAUCACGGCAAGCACCGGAGAGCUUUUGAAAGCAGCAUUCUCGAUAGAAAUGUUUCAGCCUUGAAUUUUGGUUAUCUCUAUUUAAAUGGAACGUUCGUUUUUCCUGCAUCCGAAUGUACAUGUUCCGAUUUCUCUCCGACUGCAUCUGACCGACGAAUGUUCCAGAAGCUGCGAGCGACGUACAUGAAUAGCUACGUCGAUAGCGAGCGGUCCGUAGCAAACGCAUUAAAGGGAGCGUCUAAGUAAAAUGACUCGUCGGGCACCCAGGACGGAGGGCUUCUUCAGCUAAAAGAACUUCCGGUACGGAUAAGGGAUAUGCUUUUUCCGAGCUUAUUGUCCGAAAUGGGAAGACCCGGAAGCACGCUCUAAAUGGCCAUAGAAAUUGCAUAGCUUGCUUCUUUCCCUGUCGAGAAGCCGUCGGAGCCUGUUGCAGUCCCAUGCGGUCAUGCCUGUCAAACCCGUCAACCGGCAACUUUCCCGGACAUUCAAUCCUACUAAGAAAGCAUCAGAGCCACGAGCGCUUCCAUCGUCUAAUUCGAAGGUAUUGAAGCUAAAGACAAUCUUUGCAAACUACUUAGGUAUUCAACAGACAACCCGCUCAACGACCUGCCUACCUAUCCUCUUUACAACAAAUUACUCACUGUGUUUUGUGUGUCGUUCAUAAACUCAUCUAAAUUCACAAGAAACCCUUCAUUUUUAAGGGCCUAAUUUACAGCUGAAGUGCAAGUAUCUGCCCGAAACUUAAGGCUGGGAAUCUUCAUGAACCUCGGGCAGAGACGGUGAUGAUGUGGUGCUGAUUCUGCUAGGCAGUGGCGUGUUCCUACGGGAUGACCGCUUUGUGGGAACGAGGACGCUCUCGUUGUCCCACUUCUCAUCAACAUCAUCAUCAUCUUCGUCGUCGUCAUCGGCACUUUUGAAUACUGGGUGGAGAUAUGCAUUUUGAAGGAAGCUCUUCAGAUUCACGUGCGGUUCCCUCGCACGUUCUAGAGUGUCCUUCAUCAUCGCCUCCUGAAAACAAUAGCCAAACCAAACAUCAUGAGAAUAAACUUCUAGCUUUCAUUUGUUUUCACUUUUGCUUGUCCCUAAUUAUCAGCAUCACAUAUCUAACAACGAUAGCCAAACCAAACAUCAUGAGAAUAAACUUCUAGCUUUCAUUUGUUUUCACUUUUUGCUUUUCCCUAAUUAUCAGCGUCACAUAUCUAACAACGUUAACCAAAUGAUCAAAGAUCAAAAAGGAUACAGCCAGACAGUACAACUAUACAAAUCCAGAAACCUCUUUUCAGGCCCAUCUGAGCCGUCUCCCUAUACAAGUCCAUCUCUUAUCCGGAUGGGCUGGGCUGGCCAUAUAAGUGAUACCAGAAAAAAUAGCCUCAGGGCCAACAUAGGAUGUUCUAUACUAAUGCCUCACUUAAUGAUGGGUCAAAAUUAAAAGCAACAAUUCACUUAAGGAUACAGUCAAACAGUACAACUAUACAAAUCCAGAAACCUCUUUUCAGGCCCAUCUGAGCUGUCUCCCUAUAUAAGUCAUCUCUAAUCCGGAUGGGCUGGGCUGGCCAUAUUAGUGAUACCAGAAAAAACCGCCUCAGGGUUAACAUAGGAUGUUCUAGACUAAUUCCUUACUUAAUGAUUGGUCAAAAUUAAAAGCAACAAUCAUCCUCGAUAUAGAUGCUGGAUCCGGUGAAAAGCAAUCAAGUAAGCAAGCACAUUAGAGAAACUCAAGCACCAAAGCUUCAAUUACUGCUAUGGACAUAAAAACACCUGUUUACAAAGCCUAAAAUUACGUACCUGUAAUGGAUAUCUAACAAAGGCAGGUUCAAAACGGCCUUUGCAGAACAUAUGGAAAUAGAUGGUGAGAACUGGAAGAGCAAUGAGGAAUGGAGUUGAAUUGGCAGCUUGCUUUGUAGCCAUCAGUCCAAAUAGAAGCAACUGUGAUACAACCAAAGCAACAAUAACGCGACGAUGCACAUCAGGCCAGAAUGCUGCAGCACUUUCAUACUCCUGGUUGUAGACGUUUAUUAUCUGGAAUAUUCGAAAAGAUGUUAGGAUAAACACGAUGAUGGAAGAAUGAGAAGAAGAAGGAGAAGUAAUAAAGGAAUAAGAAGUAGAAAAGGGUCUCAACGUGAUACAUCAAGCAUUGGUUCUUAAAAAAACAAGUAUAUAUAAGCAAAGAUAUAUUCAGUAUAGAUUUUUAUAAAAGUCUGGAAGUCAUCCCCACACGCACCCCAAAUAUUAAGUCGAAGCCAUCCUUAUAGGUGCGGCAGAAAUGUGUUAACACUAUUGAUCUAGAAACAAGAAAAAUCUCAUCAUGACCUGACUUUAGAGUCUCACCAGCCUAAGUUUUAGGUAACUAAUCUGAAAUAUCGAUCUUGAAGAGUGACAUUGAACAAAUCUGGGUGAACAACAUAAGGACUGCCUAUUUGCAACUUUGCUGGUUACCCUUCGAAAUUUUCCAUCAAUUUAGUGAUCCCAUCAUCCCCUUGGUAAUAAUAACUCACAAAUACUUUCCUAGGACCACCACAUGUAAUAUCAUCAUAACUGAGAAUAAUCAUGAUUGAACAUCCUCUAGCUGUUCCCACAUUUCAGGCAUAUGAGCAAUGAAACUUCAAAGAAGAUAUUCCCAAUCAUUGUUUUCAUAAAUACCUGAUGACGAAACACAACAUAAGCCAGGCCAAAGAAAACAAGUAUGAAAGGAAGCAAGGCAGGCGUCACUGUAGCAUACACGAGGCCCAGUAAGAAGUAAAACUGAAUUUGAGGUUCUCCAGUGUUGAAACCAAUGCUUCCAGGAUCCAUUGCCUCCUCCCUAUCCUUUUCAGUUUUCACCAAGAAAAAAUUCUUCAAGUGGUAGAUAAUCAAAGGCUUCAGCAUUAAAAUCUCUGCUGCUAUUCCAGCCCAACCAUCAACCAUAAUGUAAGUAAUGAAGAAAGUUGCUCUCUGGGGAAUGGCCAUCCCAAUUGUUUUAGGAAUCCUGCCAAAAAUAAGUAACACUUAUGACAUCUUCUCCAGAAGGACAGCUAGCAAGUACAUAAAAUUGGAGAAAAAAAUUUGCUGCCCAAAGGGCAACUGCUUAACAGGCCAGUAUUGCCACCCAGAACAAAGUCUUUCCAAGGUCAACUAACUUUAGCACACUUAUCAUCGUGUAAUCUUAAGUCAAGGCCCAGCACAAUAGUCAAAACAAUCUCACAUCAAACACGAGACAUGCAGAAUUAAUACAUCAAAAGCAGCGUACAAAAGCUGCAUCCUAGAUCAUACAAAAUAGGAUUACACCAAAAGCAGUGGAAAAGGAGCUGCAUCCUAAAUCAUACGGAAAUUAUGCCUACUAAUACGCCUACUAAUGACAAUGCCUGGUCGAAAGAUUUGAAGGUUUCCUUGUUUCACAGCCUCAGAUUUAUGUAUCAUCACCCCCCCCCCUUUUUCUCUCUCUCUCUCACACGCAUAGUGCAUCCGCAAGCAUACAGAAACACAUAGUACAUGCAGCGUGGGUACAGCUACCUGUCUAUACAUCAUCGUGUGGGUGCCGCAUGUGCAUAAAAUAUGUAUGGUUGCAUAUAUGCGUGUAAUGCACUUUUGGCAUCCUAUCUAUCCAAGGACAGAAGGGCGGCAAGCACUGCAUUGCAAUUGGAAAUCAAGGAGACAUGAAGAAAAAGAUAGCCUUGACAUACUCGCUGGGCGACUGAUGAAUGAAUGAGUUCAGUUGCUGAAAGGCAGAACCAGCAAUUAUGCUCCCGAGGAAUACAUUCACGAAAUUGAAAAGAUAAUAUCUAGUCGCUGAUCUCCUUUCAAGAGACGAUAGAGAUAUGAAGCCUUCAAAUCUAGACAUGAUCAUCAAUAUUGUAGGCAGGAAAAUGAGAAAAAGCUUCAACGCGAUCCCAGGCAGAAAACCCUGGAUGAACGACUUAAUGAAACCGCUGCAAGUCGAAUCAUCAAAAUAAAGUUAAUUUCCAUCAAAACAUAUUGCUAAAUCAAUUUGAUGCAAAGAGAGACUUAAAAAGUUGAGAGAUAAGAAAAACCAGACUUACAUAUCAAUAAUGGGCCUGAGAAAUGGAGCUACUUUCUCAAUCCCAUCAAGGCUUGCAAGAGAUUGCACAAAAGCAAUGGGUAUCAUGAAAAAGAAGGUGAGGAAAAAGAAUGCAACGGCCAUAAUUAGUCUUCUGAUUGUGAGAGAAACAUAUGGGAUGGCAAGGUUUGGCCAAUACACAUCGCGUGGCUCCGGAGCCCAAUCAGUGAGCCAGAGAGUUGGAUUUCUGCACUGUUGAGUCUGUGCACAGACAGCGGCACCCCAUCUUGUCUUGAAGGAAACAAAUGCAGCAGGCAUUAUAGACUUUGGAUCAC